Molecule: ribosomal RNA, 460 nt
Filed under: uncultured Porphyromonadaceae bacterium
Lineage: Bacteria; Pseudomonadati; Bacteroidota; Bacteroidia; Bacteroidales; Porphyromonadaceae
Description: bacterial SSU rRNA
Rfam family: Bacterial small subunit ribosomal RNA
Source: RNAcentral
CCUACGGGUGGCUGCAGUGAGGAAUAUUGGUCAAUGGACGCAAGUCUGAACCAGCCACGUCGCGUGAAGGAAGACGGCCCUAUGGGUUGUAAACUUCUUUUGUAAGGGAAUAAAGUGCAGUACGUGUACUGUUUUGCAUGUACCUUACGAAUAAGGAUCGGCUAACUCCGUGCCAGCAGCCGCGGUAAUACGGAGGAUCCGAGCGUUAUCCGGAUUUAUUGGGUUUAAAGGGUGCGCAGGCGGGAGAUUAAGUCGGCGGUGAAAUUUUGCAGCUUAACUGUAAAAGUGCCAUCGAUACUGGUUUCCUUGAGUGUAGAUGAAGUAGGCGGAAUUUGUGGUGUAGCGGUGAAAUGCAUAGAUAUCACGAGGAACUCCGAUUGCGCAGGCAGCUUACUAAACUACUACUGACGCUCAGGCACGAAGGCGUGGGGAUCAAACAGGAUUAGAUACCCCAGUAGUC